AUUGAACGCUGGCGGCAUGCCUUACACAUGCAAGUCGAACGGUAACAGGUCUUCGGAUGCUGACGAGUGGCGAACGGGUGAGUAAUACAUCGGAACGUGCCUAGUAGUGGGGGAUAACUACUCGAAAGAGUGGCUAAUACCGCAUGAGAUCUACGGAUGAAAGCAGGGGAUCGCAAGACCUUGUGCUACUACGGCGGCCGAUGGCAGAUUAGGUAGUUGGUGGGAUAAAAGCUUACCAAGCCGACGAUCUGUAGCUGGUCUGAGAGGACGAUCAGCCACACUGGGACUGAGACACGGCCCAGACUCCUACGGGAGGCAGCAGUGGGGAAUUUUGGACAAUGGGCGCAAGUCUGAUCCAGCAAUGCCGCGUGCAGGAUGAAGGCCUUCGGGUUGUAAACUGCUUCUGUACGGAACGAAAAGCCCUGGGUUAAUACCCUGGGGUCAUGACGGUACCGUAAGAAUAAGCACCGGCUAACUACGUGCCAGCCGCCGCCGUAA
This 498-nucleotide ribosomal RNA is filed under the name uncultured bacterium. Its description in RNAcentral is "partial 16S ribosomal RNA". It matches the Rfam family "Bacterial small subunit ribosomal RNA", at positions 30 to 523 of the family's 1533-position model. The record is from RNAcentral.